GUAGGUGGCAAGCGUUGUCCGGAAUUAUUGGGCGUAAAGCGCGCGCAGGCGGUUCUUUAAGUCUGGUGUGAAAGCCCACGGCUCAGCCGUGGAGGGUCAUUGGAAACUGGAGAACUUGAGUACAGAAGAGGAAAGCGGAAUUCCACGUGUAGCGGUGAAAUGCGUAGAGAUGUGGAGGAACACCAGUGGCGAAGGCGGCUUUCUGGUCUGUAACUGACGCUGAGGCGCGAAAGCGUGGGGAGCAAACAGGAUUAGAUACCCUGGUAGUCCACGCCGUAAACGAUGAGUGCUAAGUGUUAGGGGGUUUUCCGCCCCCCUUAGUGCUGCAGCUAACGCAUUAAGCACUCCGCCUGGGAGUACGGCCGCAAGGCUG
Molecule: ribosomal RNA, 373 nt
Filed under: uncultured organism
Description: partial 16S ribosomal RNA
Rfam family: Bacterial small subunit ribosomal RNA
Source: RNAcentral